GGCGAGGCUGGAAGGAGAGAGAAGACAGAGGCAGAGGGGCACUCAGAGGCCUCAGGAACACCCGGGACACCUUCCAACUCCAAGAGUAAAAAACUGCUUUCUCAAAGAGGACUAAAACUAGUGCAAGUUCAGACAGCAAGUCAACACCCUGGAGUUCACUUGAGCUGUCAGUCCCGGAACUACUAUGUCACCAGGAGGUGGCACUGUGAUCAUUCCCAUUUUCCAGAUGAGGAACCAGGAGCUCUUCAGUUCUGUCACUCGCUCACACAGGGACACUCAGCUGGGACUUGACCCAUACACACCAGAAGCUAACCAGGAGGCCACAGACCCAGUGGGGGCUAUGGACAUGUUUCAGGGACCUGAACCUCCAGGCCCUCAGGCUACUCUGCUGGCUCCCACAACUGCCACCUUGGGACCAAGGCAAAUCUGACAUUCCGACUACCCCGCCCUGCUGCACCACAAGAGGAUGUUCGAGCCUGACAUUGUAAGCCAGAACAAAAACCUGUGCCUGGGAGGUCAUAGGUCCCAUUAGGGAAGCAACUUCUGUGAUUUUCUUUUUUCCAGAUGGAUGCGAUAUGCCGCCAAACUGCCUUCUAAACAUGUGUUUAUGCCUACGUCAUCAGCUUCGUGACUGGGUAAAGCGUCUGACAACACGUGGCUGUUACUGUGGCACUACGGCCCAUCUCUUAGCCCUAAGUGGACACCUAUAGUCAACCCCUCCAAGGCUCAGAAAUCAUUGCAGAAGACAGAGGCAGGAGGAAUAUAAGAGCUGGACAACUCAAAAUCGCUCCAGGAAGUCCCUGAAACUGAGCAGAUGCACUAGGUCCCUCCCUGCCAGAGUAAACAGUGAGCUGAGAGCCCUUCUCUGAUGGAAGGAAGCUGAGCUGUGGAAACCUGCCCAGCUGCCUAGAAGAGGUUUAGAUCAACUGAAGCACCUAGAAAGGACACUCUCCAACCUACUGAGUUGUCUGCAGGCUGUGCCCCAGGUUCCCAGCAUUGUGAGCUGUUACCCAUGCUAGGGUUGGUUUUGGUGAUGCAGCUGUCUGAGUCCUUUCUGCUCCUGUGAGUAACUCACCCAUGUUACUUUACCACAAUUCCAAUAAAACUCAUUGGUUCACCA
RNAcentral lists this long non-coding RNA (1120 nucleotides) under Mus spicilegus (steppe mouse). RNAcentral's name for it is "lncRNA (ENSMSIG00000028509.1)". The record is from RNAcentral. Lineage: Eukaryota; Metazoa; Chordata; Mammalia; Rodentia; Muridae.